Molecule: long non-coding RNA, 1030 nt
Filed under: Citrus x clementina
Lineage: Eukaryota; Viridiplantae; Streptophyta; Magnoliopsida; Sapindales; Rutaceae
Description: Citrus clementina (C. clementina) long non-coding RNA (CCLE_LNC002496)
Source: RNAcentral
GGGAUUUUCAAUUCCGUUGGCAUGAAUAGAGAAAAAAAUUUAAUUAAUAAACCAUCCUGUUAUGUUUUGAUGAAAAAAAAAAGUGUUUAAUAUAUAAAUUACUACUAUCGUGAACUAACCUUAACCUAUUGACGUAAAAUUCUUUUUCAACUUUCCUUGCCAAUUACGCUCUUGCUUUUCCAAUUGGAGUCCAUUUGUUCAAUUCUGCACCUAGCGUUCUCGAUUUUUGGUUGCGCUAUGAUAGUUUAGAGACUGCGCUCCCUCGUUUUGUUUAGGCUCUAGUCUCUGCUAGGCCUUGUCAAUGUACUAAAAAAAAAAAAAAAAAAAAAAAAUUCUUUUUCGACUUCGAUAAUAUUACUGUUCAAGCUCAAACCCCUUUUAAUACUUUAAAUCUUAUCAAUCGAACCCACUAAGUUUCAGGGAAAAAAAAAUCUUCAAUUUGACUUCAUUUGAUUGAUUUUAACAUAUGUCUUCCAAAUUAAUUUAUAGCUUUUGUUUAACCUAGAUCUAUGCUAAUUUUCAAGUUAUCAAAUUGUGCCACUAACCGCCUUUUAUUAUAUAUUUCCUUCUACGACUUUGGAUUUGGAGAUUAGUGAUAUAUAUGUCCUAGCAAGCAUACAACCAUUUAAUAAUUUUAAUUGUUUUUUUCUUUUUUCGUCCUUUUUUAUUACGAUAAAAGAGAAUGUGAUCUUUAAAUCCUUAUAUUUAUUGUUGUUCAUUUUUAUAACUUAGCUCUCUCACUCUUUUCAAAUUAACAAAUUAAAUAUUCUGCGGCGGUGUUCAUUGCGCUUUUAUCAAAUUCCAUAGUCCUCGGCUUCAAUUUCAAAAUUAAUUGUUUGUUAAAUGAAUAAAAUCUGAAAUUUCAUUAAUUUUAAAUUUUUCAAAAAUUAUUUAUUUAUUUUUUGUAACUUAUGUUUGAUUUUCACAUACUUACAUUUGAAUAGAAAAUGUGAACUUUUGUAACUUUUUUUUUUAAAAUGAACUUUUGUAACUUUUAUUUAAAUAGAAAAGGAUCCGAAUAGAAAGUAAA